This 446-nucleotide ribosomal RNA is filed under the name uncultured bacterium. RNAcentral's name for it is "partial 16S ribosomal RNA". It matches the Rfam family "Bacterial small subunit ribosomal RNA", at positions 338 to 795 of the family's 1533-position model. The record is from RNAcentral.
CCUACGGGUGGCAGCAGUCGAGAAUCAUUCACAAUGGGGGAAACCCUGAUGGUGCGACGCCGCGUGGGGGAAUGAAGGUCUUCGGAUUGUAAACCCCUGUCAUGUGGGAGCAAAUUAAAAAGAUAGUACCACAAGAGGAAGAGACGGCUAACUCUGUGCCAGCAGCCGCGGUAAUACAGAGGUCUCAAGCGUUGUUCGGAAUCACUGGGCGUAAAGCGUGCGUAGGCUGUUUCGUAAGUCGGGUGUGAAAGGCGCGGGCUCAACCCGCGGACGGCACAUGAUACUGCGAGACGAGAGUAAGGGAGGGGGAACCGGAAGUCUCGGUGUAGCAGUGAAAUGCGUAGAUAUCGAGAGGAACACUCGUGGCGAAGGCGGGUUCCUGGACAUUAACUGACGCUGAGGCACGAAGGCCAGGGGAGCGAAAGGGAUUAGAUACCCUUGUAGUC